This 74-nucleotide transfer RNA is filed under the name Paramuricea clavata. RNAcentral describes it as "tRNA-Ser". It matches the Rfam family "tRNA". From Rfam's summary of the family: Transfer RNA (tRNA) molecules are approximately 80 nucleotides in length. Their secondary structure includes four short double-helical elements and three loops (D, anti-codon, and T loops). Further hydrogen bonds mediate the characteristic L-shaped molecular structure. tRNAs have two regions of fundamental functional importance: the anti-codon, which is responsible for specific mRNA codon recognition, and the 3' end, to which the tRNAs corresponding amino acid is attached (by aminoacyl-tRNA synthetases). tRNAs cope with the degeneracy of the genetic code in two manners: having more than one tRNA (with a specific anti-codon) for a particular amino acid; and 'wobble' base-pairing, i.e. permitting non-standard base-pairing at the 3rd anti-codon position. Lineage: Eukaryota; Metazoa; Cnidaria; Anthozoa; Malacalcyonacea; Plexauridae. The record is from RNAcentral.
GUCUCUGUAGCUCAGUUGGUUAGAGAACUGCACCGGAAUCGCAGGGCCGUAGGUUCAAUUCCUACCAGAGGACC